This 510-nucleotide ribosomal RNA is filed under the name uncultured bacterium. RNAcentral describes it as "partial 16S ribosomal RNA". It matches the Rfam family "Bacterial small subunit ribosomal RNA", at positions 899 to 1397 of the family's 1533-position model. The record is from RNAcentral.
ACUCAAAGGAAUUGACGGGGGCCCGCACAAGCGGUGGAGCAUGUGGCUUAAUUCGAUGCAACGCGAAGAACCUUACCUGGCCUUGACAUACAGCGUGAAAGCCGGUGAAAGCCGGUGACGGCCCGAAAGGGUGCUGGGGCUGUACAGGUGCUGCAUGGUUGUCGUCAGCUCGUGUCGUGAGAUGUUGGCUUAAGUGCCGCAACGAGCGCAACCCCUGUGACUAGUUACCCCGAUGCGAGUCGGGGGCCUCUAGUCAGACUGCCUCGCUUUAAACGAGGAGGAAGGUGGGGAUGACGUCAAAUCAGUAUGGCCCUUACGGCCAGGGCUGCACACGUGCUACAAUGCGCGGUACAGAGGGACGCGAGACCGCGAGGUGGAGCAAAUCCCUGAAAGCCGCGCCCAGUUCAGAUCGAAGGCUGCAACUCGCCUUCGUGAAGCCGGAAUCGCUAGUAAUGGCGUAUCAGCUACGACGCCGUGAAUACGUUCCCGGGCCUUGCACACACCGCCCGU